This 1283-nucleotide long non-coding RNA is filed under the name Rattus norvegicus (Norway rat). Its description in RNAcentral is "long non-coding RNA NONRATT021875". The record is from RNAcentral. Lineage: Eukaryota; Metazoa; Chordata; Mammalia; Rodentia; Muridae.
GGGGCUGGAGAGAUGUCCAGAGGUUAAAAGCACUGACUGCUCUUCUAGAGGUCCUAAGUUCAAAUCCCAGCAACCACAUGGUGGCUCACAACCAUCUAUAAUGAGAUGUGAUACCCUCUCUGGUGUGUCUGAAGACAGUAACAGUGUACUUAUACACAAUAAAUAAAUAAAUCUUAAAAAAAAAAAGAAGUGAUGGAGGAUCUAACAAGACCAUCAGGAGCCAGGUGAUAGUGGCACAUGCCUUUAAUCCCAGUAUUUGGGAGGCAGUGGCAGGUAAAUCCCUGUGAGUUCUGGGCUAGCCUUGUCUACAGAGUGAGUCCAGGGCAGCUAGGGCUACAUAGGGAAACCCUGGAAAACUGUCUCGAAAGACAACAAUAACAAUAAAAGACCAUCAAGGGUUCAAAGUCAGUCUUGCCACCACUCCUUUAUCACACAAGCACACUCUCGAAUACACACACACACACACACACACACACACACACACACACACACACACGGACAAAAUAGCUACAGAGAAAAAAGGGACUGGGACUCAUCAGCAAGGCUAAAUUUAUGACAUUUAAGUGGAAUCACCUAAUGUUUACAUUCUAUACACACACAGUUUUCUAAGACACAUUUAAAUGUACAUUGGUUAAAUUCAACCGCACUGCAAUUAGCCAUGUGGCACGGCAGGAGAGCUCUCACACAGAAGAAAUUCCUUUAGGUUGAUUGACAGGUUCACUCUUUCACAACGAAUCAUUUUCGACAAUACCUUUGGUUCUCAUUUUUAAACUUUGAGAAAAUCUGAGAACUGUUUCGUCACUAAAGACAAUUAAAAUUAAAGAUUUAUAAUUUUCAUUAGCUAUGUUACACAGAUCGAAGCACACCCUGUCCUCUUCCAGGCUGUCACGUGGGAGACAGCACACUCAUACAGCUUGGUAGAUCUUAAGAAACAAGACGGUGACUAAUGACUAAGUUAACCAUUGAGUCCAAUGCUCUCACCUCCACAGCUAACCAAUCAAACCAUGGGUUUCUCCUUCGCGGUGGAACAAGACAUUCCAGUAAAGAACUUAAAACCAGCCCCAGUAAAAGUCUACGAUUAUUAUGAGACAGAUGAAUUCGCCAUUGAAGAAUACAGCGCCCCUUUCAGUUCUGGUACAGUAUACUCGAAUCCUAUGCCAACCUGAAGAAAGCAAAAGAGUCCCUGCUUGGGCCUCCAUACUAGACUGUUUUUUGAGUUUAACGUUUUCUAUUAUUAAUUGGACUGAUUCAAGUACACUGUAGAAAUUCUUAACAGAAAAAAA